Molecule: ribosomal RNA, 1361 nt
Filed under: uncultured bacterium
Lineage: Bacteria
Description: bacterial SSU rRNA
Rfam family: Bacterial small subunit ribosomal RNA
Source: RNAcentral
GGCUCAGGAUGAACGCUGGCGGCGUGCUUAACACAUGCAAGUCGAACGAUUGAAGCUGGAGCUUGCUCCGGCCGAUUUAGUGGCGGACGGGUGAGUAACGCGUGGGUAACCUGCCUCAUACAGGGGGAUAGCAGUUGGAAACGACUGGUAAAACCGCAUAAGCGCACGGUGUCGCAUGACACAGUGUGAAAACACUCCGGUGGUAUGAGAUGGACCCGCGUCUGAUUAGCUAGUUGGUGAGGUAACGGCCCACCAAGGCGACGAUCAGUAGCCGGCCUGAGAGGGUGAACGGCCACAUUGGGACUGAGACACGGCCCAAACUCCUACGGGAGGCAGCAGUGGGGAAUAUUGCACAAUGGGGGAAACCCUGAUGCAGCGACGCCGCGUGAGUGAUGAAGUAUUUCGGUAUGUAAAGCUCUAUCAGCAGGGAAGAAAAUGACGGUACCUGACUAAGAAGCACCGGCUAAAUACGUGCCAGCAGCCGCGGUAAUACGUAUGGUGCAAGCGUUAUCCGGAUUUACUGGGUGUAAAGGGAGCGUAGACGGAGUGGCAAGUCUGAUGUGAAAGCCCGGGGCUCAACCCCGGGACGGCUUUUGAAACUGCCCUGCUUGAUUUCAGGAGAGGUAAGCGGAAUUCCUAGUGUAGCGGUGAAAUGCGUAGAUAUCGGGAGGAACACCAGUGGCGAAGGCGACCUACUGGGCACCAACUGACGCUGAGGCUCGAAAGCAUGGGUAGCAAACAGGAUUAGAUACCCUGGUAGUCCAUGCCGUAAACGAUGAUUACAAGGUGUUGGGAGGAUUGUCCCCUUCAGUGCCGCCAGAUAACUCAAUAAGUAAUCCACCUGGGGGGUACGACCGCAAGGUUGAAACUCAAAGGAAUUGACGGGGGCCCGCACAAGCAGUGGAGUAUGUGGUUUAAUUCGAAGCAACGCGAAGAACCUUACCAGGUCUUGCCAUCCGAUGCAUAGCUUAGAGAUAAGUGAAGUCCUUCGGGACAUCGAGACAGGUGGUGCAUGGUUGUCGUCAGCUCGUGUCGUGAGAUGUUGGGUUAAGUCCCGCAACGAGCGCAACCCUUAUUGCCAGUUACUACGCAAGAGGACUCUGGCGAGACUGCCGUUGACAAAACGGAGGAAGGUGGGGAUGACGUCAAAUCAUCAUGCCCUUUAUGACCUGGGCUACACACGUACUACAAUGGCGUUUAACAAAGAGAAGCAAGACCGCGAGGUGGAGCAAAACUCAAAAACAACGUCUCAGUUCAGAUUGCAGGCUGCAACUCGCCUGCAUGAAGUCGGAAUUGCUAGUAAUCGCGGAUCAGCAUGCCGCGGUGAAUACGUUCCCGGGCCUUGCACUCACCGCCCGUCA